RNAcentral lists this ribosomal RNA (485 nucleotides) under uncultured bacterium. Its description in RNAcentral is "partial 16S ribosomal RNA". It matches the Rfam family "Bacterial small subunit ribosomal RNA", at positions 28 to 506 of the family's 1533-position model. The record is from RNAcentral.
GAUGAACGCUGGCGGCGUGCCUAAUACAUGCAAGUCGAACGCUGGAGAUCUAGCUUGCUAGCUCGAAGGAGUGGCGAACGGGUGAGUAAUACAUAAGCAACCUACCCACGAAGACUGGGAUAAUCUCUGGAAACGGGGACUAAUACCGGAUAGGUAAUCGGAAGGCAUCUUCUGGUUAUUAAAGGUUAAAAACACUGGUGGAUGGGCUUAUGGCGCAUUAGUUAGUUGGUGAGGUAACGGCCCACCAAGACGAUGAUGCGUAGCCGGCCUGAGAGGGUGAACGGCCACAUUGGGACUGGGACACGGCCCAGACUCCUACGGGAGGCAGCAGUAGGGAAUUUUCGGCAAUGGGGGCAACCCUGACCGAGCAACGCCGCGUGAGUGAAGACGGCCUUCGGGUUGUAAAGCUCUGUUGUAAGGGAAGAACGGUAGAUAGAGAAUAUCUAAGUGACGGUACCUUACCAGAAAGCCACGGCUAACUACGU